Molecule: long non-coding RNA, 1514 nt
Organism: Bos taurus (domestic cattle)
Lineage: Eukaryota; Metazoa; Chordata; Mammalia; Artiodactyla; Bovidae
Source: Ensembl
UGCUGGGAGGGAGAGGGCUGGGGAUGCCAGUGCAAUGGGGUCUGAAGAGUGAAUAUUCGAGCUGAGGCUUCGGUAAGAAGAGGGCCAGCUGCCCACAUCUGACUGGGGAAGAGCAGGUUGGGCAGAGGGGCCAGCAGGUGCAAAGCUGCUGAGACGGGGACAGGGUGGACACAUGUGAGGGGUAAGACAAGGCAGUGUGGUGGAUGCUGGUCACGAGACCCCAUAGAGACCUGCUGGGGAUUUGAGUGGGGCUCUGGGUGAGCUCAGGAACAGAAGGGCUUUAAGCAAGGGGUCCUCCUGAAGAUCACUGUGUGAGGAGCAGGGACUGGAAAGGGGCAGGAGUGGCCUCCCUCCCACUGUCACCUGGUGAACUCCUUCUCAUCCUUCAAAUGCCAACCCAAUGGGCACUUCCCCGGUCAGGUCAUAAUACCAGCUUCCCUUUAUUGCACCUAGCUCUGAGGUAAUCUCAUGUGUGUCUGUGGUCACUUGAUUAAUGUCUUUCUUCUCCACUAGACUCUUUGCUCCUUGGGGUCAGGGGCACAUCUGCCUCACUCAUCCUCACACAUUUUUGUCAUUUGGCGGCACCAGGUCUUGGCUGCAGCACACAGGAUCUCUAGUUGCGGCAUGCGAGCUCUUAGCUGUGACACAUGGGAUCUAGUUCUCUGACCAGGGAUUGAACUCAGGUCCCCUAUACUGGGAGCGCAGAGUCUUAGCCACUGAACCACCAGGGAAGUCCUUGCCUCUGCUCAUCUUAAAUCCCCAGCACCAUGCAGGGAGCCUGGCGUGCAGUGUAUGCUCAAUGGAUAUGAUCACAUCAAGACCCUGGGGCAGAUCCCCAGCCUCAGCCCAUUUUCCACUUCCUCAAGGGAUGGCUCCUCGCUUCUGCUUCUUCCUUUUCGUCUGCCUCUUCUAUAGAACCCAGCAUGACUGUAAAUAGCUGUGGCAUUGUCACACACACACACGUGCACACACACAUACCCACUAGACUGAGCUCCAGAGAGCAGGGCAUGUGUGAGUCCUUCACUGUAUGCCUAGGAUCUCCUCAAGUCAUGUGAUGCCAUUGUACAUACAAAGAAGUACCUCACCCAUUUGAACCUCCACCUACUCAAAGAUUUCCCACUUGAGCUUGGUAAAAACUCUGUGCCCUGAAGUUAGGGUCAAACCCCUCUUCCUUCUCCCAGCUGAGCAGCUUCACCCACAGACCCACCAGCAGCAGGGGCCCCUGUCCUUCCCUGGACCCACAGUCCCAGAAUUGCUCACAUAAACAGGGAUGAGCCCUAUUUGCAAAGAUACAAUGGCUAUAUUUUGCAAACCAAAAAUGAGCAUGCACAGACUAAGGCUUAAACCUGGGGACAAAACACUGGAAUGUCUGACCUCUGAUCUGGUCCAGAAAGUUGGAGAAAUGUGGUCCCUAUUUUUAGGGUCAACUACUUCCUCCUAUUACAGCACAAUGCCCAUGGUCCCUAGUGCUGUUAGAUCCCACUUAAUUAAUCAGCAUAUUCUUGAAAUAAAUA